Oxyura jamaicensis (ruddy duck) is the source of this 2511-nucleotide long non-coding RNA. RefSeq lists it as uncharacterized. The record is from RefSeq and is a predicted model, not a curated record. Lineage: Eukaryota; Metazoa; Chordata; Aves; Anseriformes; Anatidae. The transcript has 2 exons.
GGGCACCCCGGUGCUGAGCGGGGUGGCCACAGGGUCCCCCCGGGUGCGAGUUGCCACCCCGGCCGCUAGCAGGGUGAAGCCACCGCCUGGGCCACCAGGAGCCGUUGUGAAUGGCUUGUGGUGGCUGGGAAUAACGAGCAAUGUUGGCAGUACUUCCCCGGGGGAGGCUGUGAUUCUCCUGGUUCCUCUGGAGGGAAAAUCAAACUCUUCAUUCCAGCAUGCAAAAGGUUUACUCCUCUCUGUCCUGCAGUCCUGUAAGGCGGUGCCCUGAGCAUCUUUCUGGUCUGUGGCCCUACAGCCUCUUGGCUCGUACACAGCGGGACAGGAGAAAACCAUCUUCAGCACGAGAGUUGGGGAAUUUGCUUCCAUGACAGAGGUGGAGGCGUUUGGGGUCCCUGUGGUGCCCUCAUGAGCUUAUGCCUGUGGGAUCGGGCCCCUGAGCUGUGGGCGCUGCACUGGGGCAGGCAGGGAGCUGGCACGGGGACGGCGCAACGCUGAGGGUCUUGCACAGCCUGGGUCGGCAAAACUGGCCAUGCAGAUCAGGAGAGCCACCGAGAGCUGCUCUGGCUGCUAAAAUCCAGUGCUUUGUGCCUGGGAGCUCAGUCAGUGGGGGGAGGAUAUUUGGAAGGGGAUGGGGAGGUGACACAAGGAGACCUGCACAUUGAAACAUCCCCACAGAACUGGGAGCACCGCUUCAUGUCACCCCCAGCCAGAAUAACUUGCAUUUCUUCAGCAAUUCACCUUUGUUUUCACUGACCUUGGCAUGUUUAAUCAGGGCGGGUAGGGCUGCUCCUUUCCCACAACAUAUAUUCAGGUGGCAAAGAGAACUUCCCGUUUCCUUUCGCACCCAAAACCCUCUGCUUCUGCCCUGGCAGCCUCGGUGCUGCCCCUGCUGCACGGAGCAUCCUCCCUGGCUCCGGCUGCCCCAUCCUUCCUGCCAGCCACGACCGUGUGCCUCGGGAAGCGAGCCUCCAUCCCUCUGCAGCAUGGCACGGCACACGGCUGGGGAGUGUGGGACCAGGUAGGGUGCACGGCUGCAAGGAUACAUGGUUUUGUUCCUCUCAGCAGAGACUGCUUGUUCAUGCAGCACGCCAGCAGCAGGGGUUGGCACACCAUGAGUUGAGCCACCGCACGGUGUGCUCAGCUCCUGCAGGGCUCCAUGGCACUUCCACAGCUGGGGCAGCUCAGCUCCAAAGUCCCUGCCUGAGAUUAUCUCCUCAAGGGGUUACGUCAAAAGCCAGAAUUCAGAUGGUGACACCAUCUGAUGCUUGCUUCAAGACCCAGCUGGGCAAUGCCAGAAAGGUCCCUGAGCAGGCUGGGUUCUUCUCACCAAACAGUUCGGCUGGAGGGUUGGUGUCCUGCAUGAGCUAGUGGCCCAGCUUCACCGGCAAGAGGCAAUUCCCAAGGGCACUUGCGGGGCAUUCCUGUUCUCCUGCAGGACAGGUGGCCCCUGAAAGUGCCCUUUCCUCCCUAUAGCUGCGCUUGGGUCACCUGCCUGCCCUACCCUGUAGGUGACCAAAGCAUCUGUGAAGCACCGGCUGCCAUCCUCACACCAACACCUUCUCCUCGUGGCUCACAGCGGCAGGAGUUACUGCCACCUCAGAAGCUGGUGAAAGACCCAUUGGGCUCCUUCCCACAUGCUCGCAGCUGAGCCGCAGCCCAGGCGGUGACUCCUUUCGGGAACGGCCGAGGCCUCUCCUGCUCUCACCAAAGAUGCACAGAGCUGUCGGGGAGGACGACGUGCGUGCAUACGUUGCCAGCCAUCCGCCCGUCGUCCCUGCAGGCACCUUCCCUUUCAUCCCCCAGUGUCCCCAUAGCAAGGGAGGGUCCCAGUGUGGGCGGGAGGAAUCAUUCACCUUCCAUUGCCAUGCUCCAGCGCCCAGCCGAUGCCAUCUCUUCAACCAGUGCUGCUGGCUGUGAGGACCAUCAGCAUCCUGCUGAACUUUAUGAUAGUUUUGGCAUUCUGAAUGUGGCAUCAACAGUCUGUUGCAGUGCACUCGAGUAUAUAUUUCCAGCAACAACGGUAUGCAUAUAGAUCAUUGCUCUGACAUCAACUGCAUAGAGGUCUCCUCUCCCCCUCAAACACAAAAAUAAAUAAAAUAAAAUAUAAAAUACCCAGCUUGUUUAUAGCAGAAAUUGAAAUUCCACAUAUAAUCAAAAAGUUGGAUUUUGUCCUGCAGGCACUGGAUAAGUUUCUUCGUAUGAAUGUUUUGUAACUUUCUCUGGCCAAAAGAAAUGUGCAAAAUGUUGUAAUGUUUCUGUGCUCUCCUUUGGACAUUCCAGGCUUUUGCUUAAGCUUCUCAUAAAAGGCUAUUUUCAGCAGAGGGCGGAGAAAAAAAGCUUACAGUAUGCCGAGUCAAUAAAGUAAAGAAAAACCAUAAAACAUAGCAAUGAUAACAACAGAAGAUCUGUAGAUUACAAAAGAAAUAAGAUCGGGAUCAGACAGAGCAGUAGCUGGAAAUGAAUACACAAGAGCCAAAAUAAGACUGCUCCUAAUAAACAAAGUUGAAC